GUGAGGAAUUUUCCGCAAUGGGCGAAAGCCUGACGGAGCAAUGCCGCGUGAAGGAUGAAGGCCUAUGGGUUGUAAACUUCUUUUCUCAGAAAAGAAUUAUGACGGUAUCUGAGGAAUAAGCAUCGGCUAACUCUGUGCCAGCAGCCGCGGUAAGACAGAGGAUGCAAGCGUUAUCCGGAAUGAUUGGGCGUAAAGCGUCUGUAGGUUGUUUAAAAAGUAUUCUGUCAAAGAUUAGGGCUUAACCCUAGAUAGGCAGAAUAAACUUUUAAGCUAGAGUCUGGUAGAGGCAGAGGGAAUUCCCGGUGGAGCGGUGAAAGGCGUAGAUAUCGGGAGGAACACCAAAGCCGAAGGCACUCUGCUGGGCCAAUACUAACACUGAGAGACGAAAGCGAGGGGAGCAAAUGGGAUUAGAUACCCUAGUAGUCC
Molecule: ribosomal RNA, 426 nt
Filed under: uncultured bacterium
Lineage: Bacteria
Description: partial 16S ribosomal RNA
Rfam family: Bacterial small subunit ribosomal RNA
Source: RNAcentral